GGGGGCGUGGCGAAGCUCGGUAUAACUUUGCCCAUUCGGUUCAAAGUGCUGAUCGCGGCAGGCUCCAGACUUGUUGGUCACCGGUUCAAAUCCGGUCGCUCCCA
Molecule: transfer RNA, 104 nt
Filed under: Promethearchaeota archaeon
Lineage: Archaea; Promethearchaeati; Promethearchaeota
Description: Candidatus Lokiarchaeota archaeon (permafrost metagenome) tRNA-Trp
Rfam family: tRNA
About the family: Transfer RNA (tRNA) molecules are approximately 80 nucleotides in length. Their secondary structure includes four short double-helical elements and three loops (D, anti-codon, and T loops). Further hydrogen bonds mediate the characteristic L-shaped molecular structure. tRNAs have two regions of fundamental functional importance: the anti-codon, which is responsible for specific mRNA codon recognition, and the 3' end, to which the tRNAs corresponding amino acid is attached (by aminoacyl-tRNA synthetases). tRNAs cope with the degeneracy of the genetic code in two manners: having more than one tRNA (with a specific anti-codon) for a particular amino acid; and 'wobble' base-pairing, i.e. permitting non-standard base-pairing at the 3rd anti-codon position.
Source: RNAcentral